UACGGAGGAUGCAAGCGUUAUCCGGAAUGAUUGGGCGUAAAGCGUCCGCAGGUGGCAAUGUAAGUCUGCUGUUAAAGAGUCUAGCUCAACUAGAUAAAAGCAGUGGAAACUACAUAGCUAGAGUACGUUCGGGGCAGAGGGAAUUCCUGGUGUAGCGGUGAAAUGCGUAGAGAUCAGGAAGAACACCGGUGGCGAAGGCACUCUGCUAGGCCGUAACUGACACUGAGGGACGAAAGCUAGGGGAGCGAAUGGG
Molecule: ribosomal RNA, 253 nt
Filed under: uncultured bacterium
Lineage: Bacteria
Description: partial 16S ribosomal RNA
Rfam family: Bacterial small subunit ribosomal RNA
Source: RNAcentral